GCGUAGCUGGAGUAGACAAAGUUAGGGCUUUGAGUUCUUAGUGAUGGUGGAACUGAUUUCCUCUUUCCUUUACCCAGAACUUGAAACCUAGAGAAUCCUAAUCUUUUCAAAAAAUUUAGACUUUCUUUCACACCCUAUAAUUAAUCUAACUAUUUCUCUCUUAAAUUUCUCGAAUAUCUCACUUUGUUCCUCCGUUUCUCUCUAUUUCCACCCCUGUUUCUCUCUUCUUUCUUCAUCUCUCUCUCUCUCUUUUUCUCAAAGACCUAAGACUAUUUAUAGAACAAAGAAACUGACCUACCUGAAUGAAACUAGGUCGUUGAAUGCCUAGGCAAUGAAAUCAAACCACAGAAAGGCCAGGACAAAGUCAGGACCAGAAGUCCUAGUACAAGAGAGAGCAUGAGGUGUUUUCCUUGUAAGAGUUAGUG
This 425-nucleotide long non-coding RNA is filed under the name Populus trichocarpa (black cottonwood). RNAcentral describes it as "long non-coding RNA (PTRI_LNC001965)". The record is from RNAcentral. Lineage: Eukaryota; Viridiplantae; Streptophyta; Magnoliopsida; Malpighiales; Salicaceae.